Molecule: long non-coding RNA, 4618 nt
Organism: Bactrocera dorsalis (oriental fruit fly)
Lineage: Eukaryota; Metazoa; Arthropoda; Insecta; Diptera; Tephritidae
Exons: 6
Source: RefSeq, a predicted model, not a curated record
UCGUAGAAUUUUCGAGCAUUAGCCCUGUCGGCCACCUUAUUAAGCUCUUCAUACUCACGCAUUUCGGCAUCUCUUUUUUUGUCUGCACAUGCAUCUCACUUCCCUCUUCAAUAUUUAUCCCAUCCCGCACGUGUUGUGAUCGAUCGAAUCUUGGUUGCAACAAGAUAGUGAUCCGAGUCGACGUUAGGACUUCGGAGCGUACGUACGUCUAGAACACUGGAGACGUAUUUUCCGUCCAUCACAACAUGAUCGAUCUGGUUGGUGGCUUUUCGAUCCCGAGAGAGCCGGGUAGCUUGAUGUAUUUUCUUAUUCUGGAAUCUUGGCAUCAUCACUGUAUUUGACUUACUAAAUAUAGGCUGGGCCAUCUAACGUUUUAAAUUUGAAUUAUCUAUAAUUCGACAUUGGAAACGUCAAAUGCCAUUCGGAAAGUGACAGAUAUUCAGUAAAAAAUCUAAAAUUUACGAAAUGGACCGCUAUUCUCUAGAAGAAAACUGGAAAACAGUUCGUAGAUUGGGCAGAAGAUCGUUUGACCGAGGAUGGUCAAUUUUACCGAAAAAUCAUCUUGGUUACGUUACAAGCAGAAUUGACCCAUUUGGAGCACAGAAAACCCGCACGUAAUCGUCGAGAAGCCAAUGCACCCAGCACGAAUCACUGUGUGUUGCGGAUUUUGGUCUGGUGAAUCAUCGGCCCAUUUUUCUUCGAAAAUGAAAAAGGAACCGUCGUAACCAUCAAUGGUGAGCGAUAUCGCGCAAUGUUAACCGAAUUUUUCUUCAAGCAAAUUGAAGAGGAAGACUUGGACAACAUUUGGUUUCAGCAGGACGGCGCUACGUGCCAUACAGCAAACGCUACACUCUUUUAAACUUAAACUACUUUCAAAUUUAAAACGUUAGAUGGCCCACCCUGUAUUUAUAUAAAUUUAUGCCAUCAUUAUCAAUGCGUCGUCAUAAAAACCAACGGUAAAGUAAAAUUUGACUAAUGCACCAAAGCCGGUGUUAUCAGUUCGUAUGGCCGCAGAAAAAUAAGUCCAUAAAUAAGAAUUUUUUUUAAUACAUAUAUAAAAAAGUAAGAGAAAAAAUGUGAAGGUUUCUCCGUCGCUACCGUUGUUGGUGUUUUGGCAGAAAUUUCCCAUGGCUAUGGUUAUCUCCAAUGGAGUUGAAGAGUAAAUUGAAAAUUAUUGAAUUAUUGUUUUCAUCGAAAUUUUACGCAGCUUGAAAACUUCGUUGGUGUUAGAGUACAAUUCGCGUAGAAAUUGCAGAUUUAUCCGUCAAUAAUAGCUCGGUUCAGGAACGGGACGUUGUUAGGAGCAAAGAAAGUGCCAAAUUUAUAGUAGUAUGUCAGGGAAAAACGGCAAAUAUAUUGUCUCUUUAAUCUGCAAAAAAUUGGAUAAUAAUUUUUUUUUUUUGGAAGAUUGCCCUGAACAGAACAAAAUAAGUAGCCCUGUGGUGCCGUCAGGCUGAAUUUUGUUUUCGUGUAAAUGCUGCCUUAGAGCAAUAACUUUUUUGUGUUUUUUUUUAAAUGUUUCAAUUGAGAAAUUCUGAAUCCUCUUUAGUUGUCUUCCAAAAUCAAUGCCGCCAAGGCAUUUGAGAAAAAUCUUCCCGGAUUGAUAAACGCUUUGAUCAAAGUUAAAAAACUCAAACUUAUGGCAGAAACUCGUGGAAACGUUUAUGAAAUAUAUGAGCAAAUUUGUGUGCGAUUUGAAUUUAUAAUGCUUCAGAAACAUGGCACUUCAAGACAGCAAUUCCUCCAUCGACGCUGAGUUUGAAACAUAAAAAGUCUUCUUGUGGAUACCCCAAUUUGGCAAUUUAGAGUGAAUGCAAGAUUACUGCAGAUACUGCGCAUGUCGAUGUGAUUUUACCAUUAACAAGAAAAAAACCUACAUAAAUAAGUUAAUGAUAAUUGGCGUAAAGAAGAAAUUGAAUUCAAAAGAAAUCGUUAUCAUUUCUGUGGUAGUUUUACGAUAUGAAAGGAGAUGAACUCAACGUAACUGAAAAAAAUUUAGCAAAAAAGUAUUCCGUUGAUGUAUCUGUUCAGAAGUCCAAUGACGAAGAAAAAUUAUACGAAACUCUUCGUUUGGUGAGAGCGCUGUCAAAAUGCCCAUUUUUAUAGUAUUCAUUAGUGAAGCCACUUUUCCACAUUACCAUUGAGGUAUGCAAAAGGCGCGUUACCAAAGUUAAUUUUGGGCAGGGAUAAUGGGAUGCCCAACUUAUUCCAGUGUGAGAGCGCCUCAAAAUAAGCGUUUUCUAUAACAUUUUCCAUUAUGGCCAGAUCGAACAAAAUAAAAAUUUUUGGGCAUUUAUUACGAUUGCAAAUUAUUAUAUAUUGGACUUUUAAUAUAUGGCAAAACAACUGACUUUCGAUCUUUCAAUACUUAAUAAGGCGAAUUAAGCCUAUUAGUUCUCAAUUAAUAAACGUUUUUAAUCAUUUGUAAUAGAAAAUUAAUUCUAUUAUGCAUUAAAUUACAAAACGUUUAAUGAAAUAAACCCCAGUAGGGGAAUGUAAAUAAUUUUACGAGCAACCGACAUCUAAUUCUACAGAAUUUCGACACCGCACUGGUUUUGGCAGUUCUGAUUGUAUUUUGCUGCAGCUCAGCUCAGAAAAAAGAUCAUGAUCCGCUGCCAGCUACAAAGCGAGAGUAAGAACAGUUUCAUAUCAUUUUAUCUUUGCCAAUGAAGCUAUUCACCUCAAACACGUUUACGAUGCAAAUUUUGGAAGUCAUCUUAUUUCAUACAAUUUAUUGAAUGCUAUCCAUGCACCAAAAUUAGGAACACUUUUCUCAAAUAUUGGCAUCGCUUUGAUGGAUUUCAAACUUAAUGUUCAACAACUUAUGUUUCUGUUUUUUUAUAAAGUUAAGUCUGAAAAAAUAUGGCUAUAGGGGGAUUUUCUUGCUCUUGCAAGAUUACACGAUGACACAAAAUGAAAAAAUCCUAUACCGAAAUAUGCAAGGCCAAGAGAGCACCCAUUGCAGAAUCUAUCAAUUGUGCAUGACUAUUGUCAAUUAGGGCACCUUCUGCAUUCAUUCUUAACAAAAAACUGUAUCAAAUCUUUAUAGUUUAAGUAGAAAUUAUAAAAUCUAUUUAAAACUUACCUUCCUCAACAAUUUAACGACGUAAUAUGCCUUUAUGUGAAAUGACAGUUAAAACAGUGUUACAAUUAUAUUUUUACGAGUCAUUGUACGAAAAUAAGCAUGGGUUUUGGUUUGACAUACAUAUUUUAAAGCCAUUGCAAAUAAUUUUUUCUAUGUGUUUGUUGUUGUGCCGUUGCACCAAUUCUGCAAUUCGUGAAUGGUGCAAUGGUUUUGCAAGAGCAAGGGAAUCCCCCUUAUAUGUGAACUGGGCCCGAAUCGCUGCAGUCGUGAGCGAGCAAGCAAUCGAAUCGAGUGAAAUUUCGUAACGUGUCGAGUGUGCGGAUCGUCACACUCGAUGCGAAACGAAUAGAAAUUUUAUGAAAUAACUUCCCUGGUGGAGCCCUAAAUGACAUUUUCGAAUAACGAAACAAAAUAAAAGAAAGAAGUAUUUGAAUUGGAAUUGAACGCAAAAAAAUUAACCCUAGUGCGUUUUUUAUUCAAGUUCAUCUGAUUCAGAUGAAGAAACUCCACCAAAUGGCCAUAAGGUCCAGGAUUUGUGAAAAAAGUAAUUCCAUGGCUUUACCUGAAGCAGAAUUCAGGAAGCGGUUUAGACUGACCAAAGACGCAUUUACUUUCAUCCUAUCGGAAAUAGAAUUUAACGGCUUCAAUUAGCAGCGACUUUGUCCCUUUUGGCGAGUGGAGGCUAUCAACACUCAGUUGGAAACGACUUUUUAAUUGGAAUGUGUCAAACCACAGUAUGUAAAAUUGUAGGGGACGUGGUUAAUGAAAUGGAAACAAAACUUUGUCCACAUUUCAUUAAGUUUUUGCUAAACCGUUUAUCUAAAUGCACAGAAUACUUUGUUGAGAAAUAUAAAGUUUCAUGAGAUUUGUGAUUACGAACAUCGAAUUUUAGCUAUUGAUUCAAAAUAUGGUGGAGCUGCUCAAGAUUCCUUUGUAUGGAAGCAUUCUGCGCAGAGGAGAUUUUUGAAGGAAGCAUAUAAUCCAAACAAUAUGAUAAAUGUCUGGCUUUUGGGAGAUUCUGGAUAUCCUUUGUAACCAUGGUAUUUGACACCAUUUAGUAACCCGAAGUUGGCUCGUGCCAAGCACGGUUUAAUGAAAUCCAUGCAAAAGGACGCUGUAUUGUUGACGGAUCCAUUGGUAUACUGAAAGACCGGUGGAAAAUUCUUAGUAAUGAUAAAAGAAGUCGGUAUAGUCCUGAAAAGAUGGCAAAGUUCGUCAAUGUAUGUGCAGCGUUGCAUAACAUCUGCAUACAAUUUAAAAAUUCAACAUAUUGCAGAUAUUUUGUAAAUGAAAACAAUGAUACAGAAAUAGAUACUGGAAAUGAGACUCAAUUAACUAAAAUUUGUCAUAAAAUUAGAGAUCAUAUUAUGUUGUCUUUAAAUAAUAAUUGAAUUAAACGCUUCAACAACAUUUGAAUUCAUAUUUUAUUUUAAUAAAUAUAUUUUCAAUAAAGAACUUAGAAUUAACAUAUCUUAUAUAAAGGUAUUUAUUUAUGAAUUUUUCUCUUUAAAAUAUCAAGCUCACGAGUUUUAA